Molecule: ribosomal RNA, 389 nt
Filed under: uncultured bacterium
Lineage: Bacteria
Description: bacterial SSU rRNA
Rfam family: Bacterial small subunit ribosomal RNA
Source: RNAcentral
AUUGAACGCUGGCGGCAUGCCUUACACAUGCAAGUCGAACGGCAGCACGGGAGCUUGCUCCUGGUGGCGAGUGGCGAACGGGUGAGUAAUACAUCGGAACGUACCCUGAAGUGGGGGAUAACGUAGCGAAAGUUACGCUAAUACCGCAUAUUCUGUGAGCAGGAAAGCAGGGGACCGCAAGGCCUUGCGCUCUUUGAGCGGCCGAUGUCAGAUUAGCUAGUUGGUGAGGUAACGGCUUACCAAGGCGACGAUCUGUAGCGGGUCUGAGAGGAUGAUCCGCCACACUGGAACUGAGACACGGUCCAGACUCCUACGGGAGGCAGCAGUGGGGAAUUUUGGACAAUGGGCGCAAGCCUGAUCCAGCCAUGCCGCGUGAGUGAAGAAGGCCU